GAUGAACGCUGGCGGCGUGCCUAAUACAUGCAAGUCGAGCGAACAGAUGAGGAGCUUGCUCCUCUGACGUUAGCGGCGGACGGGUGAGUAACACGUGGAUAACCUACCCAUAAGACUGGGAUAACUUCGGGAAACCGGAGCUAAUACCGGAUAAUAUAUUGAACCGCAUGGUUCAAUAGUGAAAGACGGUUUUGCUGUCACUUAUAGAUGGAUCCGUGCCGCAUUAGCUAGUUGGUAAGGUAACGGCUUACCAAGGCAACGAUGCGUAGCCGACCUGAGAGGAUGAUCGGCCACACUGGAACUGAGACACGAUCCAGACUCCUACGGGAGGCAGCAGUAGGGAAUCUUCCGCAAUGGGCGAAAGCCUGACGGAGCAACGCCGCGUGAGUGAUGAAGGUCUUCGGAUCGUAAAACUCUGUUAUUAGGGAAGAACAAAUGUGUAAGUAACUAUGCACGUCUUGACGGUACCUAAUCAGAAAGCCACGGCUAACUACGUG
This 497-nucleotide ribosomal RNA is filed under the name uncultured bacterium. RNAcentral's name for it is "partial 16S ribosomal RNA". It matches the Rfam family "Bacterial small subunit ribosomal RNA", at positions 28 to 507 of the family's 1533-position model. The record is from RNAcentral.